RNAcentral lists this ribosomal RNA (491 nucleotides) under uncultured bacterium. RNAcentral describes it as "partial 16S ribosomal RNA". It matches the Rfam family "Bacterial small subunit ribosomal RNA", at positions 29 to 507 of the family's 1533-position model. The record is from RNAcentral.
GUGCACGCUGGCGGUAGGCCUAACACAUGCCAGUCGAACGGCAGCACCGUAAGAGCUUGCUCUUACGGGUGGCGAGUGGCGGACGGGUGAGGAAUACAUCGGAAUCUACUUUUUCGUGGGGGAUAACGUAGGGAAACUUACGCUAAUACCGCAUACGACCUACGGGUGAAAGCAGGGGAUCUUCGGACCUUGCGCGAUUGAAUGAGCCGAUGUCGGAUUAGCUAGUUGGCGGGGUAAAGGCCCACCAAGGCGACGAUCCGUAGCUGGUCUGAGAGGAUGAUCAGCCACACUGGAACUGAGACACGGUCCAGACUCCUACGGGAGGCAGCAGUGGGGAAUAUUGGACAAUGGGCGCAAGCCUGAUCCAGCCAUACCGCGUGGGUGAAGAAGGCCUUCGGGUUGUAAAGCCCUUUUGUUGGGAAAGAAAAGCAGCAGGUUAAUACCCCGCUGUUCUGACGGUACCCAAAGAAUAAGCACCGGCUAACUUCGUG